CAGCAAACUAUCGCAAGGACAAAAAACCAAACACCGCAUGUUCUCACUCAUAGGUGGGAACUGAACAAUGAGAAAUUUGCAUCUUUCAUAAGUACUUUCUUCACCUUUCAUUUUCUCAUUCUUCUAAGUAUCUGUGAAUGCCAGAGACCAGCCCUGUGGCCAGCAAUCUUCUGAUGGCCCUGAGAAUCUGCCCUGCAACAUUAUCUUCCUGCCCACUGUGCCAUCAUCCUAGAAAAUCUAUUUUUUGGUAUAAAUUUAAGGGGCACAAUUAUAAUUUUGUUACCUGGCUAUAUUACAUAGUGGUGAAGUUUGGGCUUUUAGUGCAUCUAUCAUCUGAAUAAUAUAUCUUGUAAUCAUUAAGUAAUUUCUCAUCCCUCACUCUCCUUCCAUCCCCGCACCCUUCCAAGUUUCCAACGAUUAUUAUUUUAUUCUCUAUGUCCAUCUGUACACAUUUUUUAGCUCCCACAUGUAAGUGAGAACAUGGGGUAUUUGCCUUUCUGAGUUGUUUCACUUAGGAUAAUGACCUUCAGUUCCAUUCACUUUGCUGCAAAAGACAUGAUUUUAUUCCUUUCUAUGACUGGAUAGUAUUCCAUUGUGUAUAUAUACCACAUUUUCUUUAUCCAGUUAUCUGCUGAUGGAGACUUAGGUUGAUUCCAUGUUUCUGCUAUUGUGGAUAGUGCUGUGAUAAACAUAUAAGUGUAGGUGUCUUUUUUAUGUAAUGAUUUUUUUCCUUUGGGUGGAUGCUCAAUAGUGGGAUUGUUGGAUCAAAUGGUAAAGUUCUAUUUUUAGUUCUUUGAGAAUGCUCUAUACUGUUUUCCAUAGAGGUUGCAUUAAUUUUAAUUCCCACCAACAGUGUAUGAGCAUUACCUUUUCUCUGCAUCUUUGCCAACAUCUGUUAUUUUUUCUUUUUAAUGAUAGCCAUUCUGACUGGUAUAAGACGAUAUCUCAUGGGGUUUUAAUUUGCAUUUCUCAAAUGAUUAGUGAUGUUGAGCAUUUUUUUCAUAUGCUUGUUGGCCAUUUGUAUGUCUUCUUUUGAGAAAUGUCUAUUCGUGGAUUUUGCCUACUUUUUAAUGGGGUAAUUGAGAAAAUCCAAUGUUAAACGGACAUUUUUUAGUUGGCCAAAUACAAAACACAGGAUUUAGAUUUUUGGACAUUUUGAAGGAAUGAUGGAUGCAUGAAGAAAGAGCUUUACACACAGCCAAGGUGGGACAUGACUCUUUGGAGAUUGCUCUGCAGAAUUCACAGCAGUGACACAUCACCUCUCUGUUGUGUUGGUGUAAUACACUCUGCAACAGGUCACCCAAACUCCCAGGCAUUAGAAAUCAAACUCACCUCUAUAAACCAAAGAUUUACAAAGGAGCUACUAAUAUGAACUCUCUUCAGCAUUUUAGAUAAAUAUACCAUGUAUCAUUAUUUAACAUAAUUAUCAGCAUAUUGCUAAAUAGGUCUUCUUUCCUGCUUGGUGUUGAGUAAAAUUGAAUCAAGAUGGUGCAGUGGGAAGACUAUGCACUUUGUGUAGGGUUCUCAAAGGACUGUGUCCUGACUCUGUCAUUAAUAAGCUACCUGGCCCCUUGGGCAUAACCCUGC
RNAcentral lists this long non-coding RNA (1587 nucleotides) under Homo sapiens (human). Its description in RNAcentral is "HSALNT0371714". The record is from RNAcentral. Lineage: Eukaryota; Metazoa; Chordata; Mammalia; Primates; Hominidae.